GAUCCGUGUUGAUUGUGGUGUUCCUUUAGCACUUGCAGUGUUAAAACAGCUCUGGGGGCGGAGUUAUUGCGGCGAGUUAAGUGAUGCUCUCCUGACCGAGUUACUUGCACAUCCGGUUUCAACGCGCUCUUUCUUCUUGAAGUCACGGUGAAGAAAACCCGUGGUCAGGAAGAUAUUUAGCUGUUAUUUCAGAAGGUAUAUGCUAAACUGCGACAGGGACUAAAGAGGAAAAAGCGAGUGCCUAAUUGAUACCAAAACGUUUCUGCAAGAUAUCACCAUGCUGCUGAAGGUGAGAUACCAGAGUACCAAGAAGUACAUCCGAUUACAGCUAGGUUUCACCUAUUUGGAAUUCAUCACUGCAGUCAAAAACAAAUUUGGACUCCAUGAUGCAGCUGAACUUCACAUAUUUGAUGAAACUGACACCGCAGUGGAGGAAGACAUUCUUCUUGAACUGAUGGAGUCCAAUCCAGACCUUUGCCUGAUCGUGCGUGACAGCAUUUCAGAUGAAGGUAGGUUUCAUUAUUAAAUCUGCAUUUUGAAGCCUUUUAUGUCCCUAACUGUCUGACUACAGUGACAAAUUAGAUGAACAAAGAAAUAAUAUUUACGUAAAAGACAGAUCAGCA
This is a long non-coding RNA of Pseudoliparis swirei, 623 nucleotides long. RefSeq lists it as uncharacterized. NCBI's taxonomy places the organism in Eukaryota, Metazoa, Chordata, Actinopteri, Perciformes, Liparidae. The transcript has 4 exons. The record is from RefSeq and is a predicted model, not a curated record.